RNAcentral lists this long non-coding RNA (205 nucleotides) under Carica papaya (papaya). RNAcentral's name for it is "long non-coding RNA (CPAP_LNC003966)". The record is from RNAcentral. Lineage: Eukaryota; Viridiplantae; Streptophyta; Magnoliopsida; Brassicales; Caricaceae.
GGUCAAAAUACAAUUUAAAAAAGUUUUACCACGUAGGAUGCUCGGUCAACAGCUCCGACGAACCAAGAUGCACUGCGUGGCAACAGAUGCUGACGCGGUGCCAUGUUGGAGGCCAUGCAGACGAUCCGCAUGCCUGCGAUUGAACAACCCAGAUCCGUUCCUGCGCCCACAGACGACCUAGAUGCGUUCCCUCCCUAAACGUGAU